RNAcentral lists this ribosomal RNA (504 nucleotides) under uncultured bacterium. RNAcentral's name for it is "bacterial SSU rRNA". It matches the Rfam family "Bacterial small subunit ribosomal RNA", at positions 19 to 518 of the family's 1533-position model. The record is from RNAcentral.
CUGGCUCAGGAUGAACGCUAGCGGCAGGCUAACACAUGCAAGUCGAGGGGCAGCGCGAGUAGCAAUACUUGGCGGCGACCGGCGCAAGGGUGCGUAACGCGUGAGCAACAUGCCCGUAUCAGGGGGAUAAUCCAGGGAAACUUGGUCUAAUACCCCAUAGUAAUUUUGUAAGGCAUCUUAUAAGAUUUAAAGCUUUGGUGGAUACGGAUUGGCUCGCGUGACAUUAGCUGGAUGGUAAGGUAACGGCUUACCAUGGCUAUGAUGUCUAGGGGUUCUGAGAGGAAGGUCCCCCACACUGGAACUGAGACACGGUCCAGACUCCUACGGGAGGCAGCAGUGAGGAAUAUUGGACAAUGGAUGGAAAUCUGAUCCAGCCAUGCCGCCGUGAAGGAAGAAGGUCCUAUGGAUUGUAAACUUCUUUUGUAUGGGAGCAAUAAGGCCUACGAGUAGGUUGAUGAGAGUACCAUACGAAUAAGCACCGGCUAACUCCGUGCCAGCCGCCGC